This 264-nucleotide ribosomal RNA is filed under the name uncultured bacterium. RNAcentral describes it as "partial 16S ribosomal RNA". It matches the Rfam family "Bacterial small subunit ribosomal RNA", at positions 92 to 354 of the family's 1533-position model. The record is from RNAcentral.
GGCCGACGGCACGGGUGAGUAACGCGUAUCCAACCUGCCCUUUACUAUGGGACAGCCCGUCGAAAGGCGGAUUAAUACCGUAUGUUGUCAUGUUGAUGCAUAUUUUCAUGACCAAAGGCUUCGGCCGGUAAAGGAUGGGGAUGCGUCUGAUUAGCUUGCCGGCGGGGUAACGGCCCACCGGGGCGACGAUCAGUAGGGGUUCUGAGAGGAAGGUCCCCCACAUUGGAACUGAGACACGGUCCAAACUCCUACGGGAGGCAGCAG